This 242-nucleotide unclassified non-coding RNA is filed under the name Hevea brasiliensis (rubber tree). The record is from RNAcentral. Lineage: Eukaryota; Viridiplantae; Streptophyta; Magnoliopsida; Malpighiales; Euphorbiaceae.
AGAACCUUUUGGCUAUUUUACUGCUUGUCAAGCUGUCUCCCAUAAUUUCAUUUGUGCUUCUGUUAAAGUGAUCACACAAGCUUAAGAGAAUAAUCUUGGUCUAAGCUUUACUUCUGAAAACGUAUUGCAAAUAUCACUACCACAAUGUUAAGACAUUCCAGCACCAUUCUUUCCUUUUAGCGUACUUGGAGUCUCAUUUCUUUCUUACACCACUAAGCAGUUACCUUAUUUAAUUUCAAUUU